GUUGUGUUUUUGUGUUUGUUCAGUAUAAUGCUCUUGAUACUUUAUGUGGGGUUUUUAUACUUCAUCUGUUAAGAAAGGCGAGGGGUUGCCGCAUACAUGUAUUUUCUAGUUAUCAAAUAUUUCAUGACAUGAACGGUUUGUGAAAUUGAAAGCCGUUUCCAAAUUGUCUACUUUUUGUGAUACACCCUGUAUGUGUAACAAAUUAAAUUUAUUAAAAAUGGACGCAUGAUUGCCACCCCUGUUUCGCAUAC
Paramuricea clavata is the source of this 251-nucleotide non-coding RNA. The record is from the annotation of a GenBank genome assembly. Lineage: Eukaryota; Metazoa; Cnidaria; Anthozoa; Malacalcyonacea; Plexauridae.